GCUAAUAGAUGGUGUUUUUUUUAAACAAAAUAAAUUUGUUUAAGGUACAAAAUAAUAUUUUAGGUAGACUAAUUUUUUAAAAAAAACACCUAACUCAGAAAAAUGUCAUAGUUUAAAGAUUAUGAAGAUAUAUAUUUUUUUAAUUUGCCAGUUUGCCGCCCAUAUAAAAUUAAAUGAAAACCCUUAAACCGAUUUUUUGUCUUUCCCAAAAUCUCGUACUUUAAAGGAAAAAAAGAAACAGAGAAAAAAGUUCACCCUUUGUUUUUCAGAAAUGGAAGAAGAAGAUCAGCGCAAAGUCACAGAUCUAGUAAUUGAGCUAGUUCGUCGUUUACUCUCUCAACAAAACCCUCAAAACGCAAGCCCUAACUCUCCUCAUCUCUCCCAAUCUCUUCGCUACGCUCUCCGCAUUCUAUCCAGCCGUUUAACCCCUUCCGUUUCCCCUGAUGCGGACGCCGUCGCCGAAUCCAUCAAGCGCCGUCUCGCCACUCAAGGUAACUCCUCUGAUGCCCUUACUUUCGCUGAUCUCUAUACCAAGUUCGCUUCCAAAAAUGGUCCGGGCAGCGUUAAUAACAAAUGGGCUGUUCUUUAUUUGCUUAAAAUUAUAUCCGAGGAUCGAAAAAAUGCUAUCAGUGGGAUGGAUUCUUCGGUUUUCUUGCCUAAUUUAGGUUUAAAUGAUGAUGAAAUGGGAAAUGAUUUAAGGGUUUUGAAUGCUAAAGAGAAUAGAGAAAAGGCUUGGAAAAAUGGGGUUUUAUUGGUUUCAAAAGACCCCGAAAAUUUGCGCGAAAUUUCGUUUAGGGAGUUUGGGAAUUUAGUUGAGGAAGAGAAUGAGGUGACUGAAGAGGUUUUGGUUAGAGAUGUGUUGUAUGCUUGUCAAGGGAUUGAUGGGAAGUAUGUGAAAUUUGAUAGUAAUUUAGAUGGUUAUGCUUUAUCAGAUUCAAUUAAGGUACCUAGAGCUACUCGAACUAUUGUUAGGAAGCUUUGUGAAUUAGGCUGGUUGUUUAGGAAAGUUAAAGGGUAUAUUUCAGAGAGUAUGGAUCGUUUUCCUGCUGAAGAUGUGGGGACUGUAGGCCAGGCAUUUUGUGCUGCUUUGCAGGAUGAGUUAUCGGAGUAUUAUAAGUUGUUGGCUGUCCUAGAGGCUCAGUCAACAAAUCCAAUUCCAUUGGUUUCAGAGAAUGCAAGUUCAGGGAACUACUUGUCCUUGAGGAGAUUGUCAGUUUGGUUUGCUGAGCCAAUGGUGAAAAUGAGACUGAUGGCCAUUUUGGUUGAUAAGUGUAAAGCUUUGAGGGGAGGUGCUAUGGCUGGCGCUAUUCAUUUGCAUGCACAGCAUGGUGAUCCUCUAGUCCAUGACUUCAUGAGGCGAUUGCUUAGGAGGGUGUGCUCUCCGCUUUUUGAAAUGGUGAGGAGCUGGGUUUUGGAAGGGGAAUUGGAGGACAUUUUUGCUGAAUUCUUUAUUGUGGGGCAACCAGUGAAAGCUGAAUCCCUUUGGAGAGAAGGUUACCGACUGCAUGCUGGAAUGUUGCCUCUGUUCAUUUCCCAAUCUAUUGCUCAACGUAUUCUGAGGACUGGGAAAUCUAUUAAUUUUCUUCGUGUUUGUUGUGAUGACCGAGGUUGGGCGGAUGCAGCAACAGAGGCUGUAGCUGCUGCUGGAGUGACUACUAGAAGAGGGGGUCUUGGAUAUGGAGAAACUGAUGCACUUGAAUCUCUAGUCAUGGAAGCAGCUAAGAGAAUUGAUAAGCAUUUGUUGGAUGUUAUAUACAAGAGGUACAAGUUUAAAGAACACUGUCUUGCAAUCAAGAGAUAUUUGCUGCUUGGGCAGGGUGAUUUUGUUCAGUACCUGAUGGAUAUUGUUGGACCAGAGCUUUCUGAGCCUGCUAAUACUAUUAGUUCCUUCAAGUUAGCUGGAUUACUGGAAAGUGCAAUUCGGUCAUCUAAUGCUCAGUAUGAUGAUCCUGACAUACUAGAUCGGUUGAGAGUUAAGAUGAUGCCACACGGCACUGGUGACCGUGGAUGGGAUGUAUUCUCAUUGGAAUAUGAUGCUAGGGUUCCUUUAGAUACAGUGUUUACUGAAUCUGUCAUGACAAGGUAUUUAAGAAUUUUUAAUUUUCUGUGGAAGCUUAGACAGGUGGAGCAUGCACUCAUUGGUGCUUGGAAGACAAUGAAACCCAAUUGUCUUACUUCACAUGUAUACACAAAGCUGCAACAUGCUGUAAAAUUGCAAUUGCUUUCAACAUUGAGGCGAUGCCAGGUUCUUUGGGAUGAGAUGAAUCAUUUUGUUACCAACUUGCAAUACUAUAUCAUGUUUGAAGUCUUGGAGGUGUCAUGGUCCAAUUUUUCCAAUGAAAUGGAAGUAGCCAAAGAUCUUGAUGAUCUACUUGCAGCACAUGAGAAGUACCUCCACUCAAUUGUAGAAAAAUCACUCCUGGGUGAAAGAUCUCAAACCCUUUACAAGUCACUGUUUGUCCUCUUUGACCUUAUACUGCAAUUUAGAAGUCUUGCAGAUCGGUUAUAUGAAGGAAUUCAUGAGUUACAAGCGAGAACUGCAGAAUCCUCUUUAAGUUCUCGAGACAAAAACAAACUGAGGCAAACCAAGGAUAAAUCUUCAGAGCCAGGGUCUUGGAUUAGGGAAGGCAGGAAAGCUCUAACACAGCGUGCUAGUGAAUUCCUUCAAAAUAUGGGACAAGAACUAGAUGCAUUAGCUACGGAGUAUAAAUCAUUGCUUGAGGGUUUCUUAACUCAGUUGCCUGUUCAGCAACAUGUAGAUUUGAAAUUCCUCCUUUUCCGGUUAGAUUUCACUGAAUUUUAUACUCGACAGCAUGCUACCAUGUAAAGCUAUCAACACGUAUGGGUUUAAGGAGUUGCUGCUCAUAUUUGAGACAUAAAUGUAGUUCUUCAAUUCACUAAUGUCAUUUUCACAAUGCUCCCACUUGAAUGAACAAUCUCUUGUACACCUGGUGAACAUUUAGACUGACCAAUUUGUACAACAUCUCUUCGUUUUUAGAUGUCUUUCGGAUGGCUUGUUUGGAAUGUUGCAGUUGAUUUGAAGGGAUGGCAUAUGUUUCUGUUCAUUAUGUUGCUGUGUUCCGCUGUGGAACACAAAUAGAUGAUAUAUUCAGUAGUUUUGGAUUACUUACACAAUGCUCAUGUCGUGUGAACCUAUUCCUCAGCCAUGAUCUUAAUUUUGUAUGUUCCCCCCCUCCCCCUAAAACUGUUAUAGCUGCAAAGGGCUUUUCAAAAGAGCAAAAUCCACAUUACCAAUGAUGCUAGUGGUUGGGUUUUUACUUUGUCAAUGUGAGAAUUCUUAUUCUCAUGGCUUAUCAUUAUGGUUUCACCCAUCGAUAAGCAAUAGCUUUCAGAUUCGAGAUGCCAAGGAAGUCAGUGGUGUAUGAGGUGAACUGAAAUCCUCUGUCCUUUCUGCCAGCUCCAAUUCGUGCCCUAUUAAUCUAAUUAGUCCAUGUGUCAGAUUGAAUUUUAUAUUUUUACUUCCUGUUAA
RNA transcript from Gossypium arboreum, 3490 nucleotides. It is a transcript of the gene named gamma-tubulin complex component 3, with no coding region annotated. The record is from RefSeq and is a predicted model, not a curated record. Lineage: Eukaryota; Viridiplantae; Streptophyta; Magnoliopsida; Malvales; Malvaceae. The transcript has 4 exons.